This 460-nucleotide ribosomal RNA is filed under the name uncultured bacterium. Its description in RNAcentral is "partial 16S ribosomal RNA". It matches the Rfam family "Bacterial small subunit ribosomal RNA", at positions 338 to 795 of the family's 1533-position model. The record is from RNAcentral.
CCUACGGGUGGCUGCAGUGAGGAAUAUUGGUCAAUGGGCUUACGCCUGAACCAGCCAAGUCGCGUGAGGGAAGACUGCCCUAUGGGUUGUAAACCUCUUUUGUCAGGGAGCAAUUGGCGCUACGUGUAGCGUUAUCGAGAGUACCUGAAGAAAAAGCCUCGGCUAACUCCGUGCCAGCAGCCGCGGUAAUACGGAGGAUGCGAGCGUUAUCCGGAUUUAUUGGGUUUAAAGGGUGCGUAGGCGGAAUGCCAAGUCAGCGGUAAAAUCGCGGGGCUCAACCUCGCUCCGCCGUUGAAACUGGCGUUCUUGAGUGGGCGAGAAGUAUGCGGAAUGCGUGGUGUAGCGGUGAAAUGCAUAGAUAUCAGGAGGAAUACCGUUAGCGAAGGCGGCAAUCUGGAUGGAAACUGACGCUGAGGUGCGAAAGCGUGGGUAGCAAACAGGAUUAGAUACCCCGGUAGUC